This 465-nucleotide ribosomal RNA is filed under the name Bacillus subtilis. RNAcentral describes it as "bacterial SSU rRNA". It matches the Rfam family "Bacterial small subunit ribosomal RNA", at positions 81 to 531 of the family's 1533-position model. Lineage: Bacteria; Bacillati; Bacillota; Bacilli; Caryophanales; Bacillaceae. The record is from RNAcentral.
CAUCCCUGAUGUUAGCGGCGGACGGGUGAGUAACACGUGGGUAACCUGCCUGUAAGACUGGGAUAACUCCGGGAAACCGGGGCUAAUACCGGAUGGUUGUUUGAACCGCAUGGUUCAAACAUAAAAGGUGGCUUCGGCUACCACUUACAGAUGGACCCGCGGCGCAUUAGCUAGUUGGUGAGGUAACGGCUCACCAAGGCGACGAUGCGUAGCCGACCUGAGAGGGUGAUCGGCCACACUGGGACUGAGACACGGCCCAGACUCCUACGGGAGGCAGCAGUAGGGAAUCUUCCGCAAUGGACGAAAGUCUGACGGAGCAACGCCGCGUGAGUGAUGAAGGUUUUCGGAUCGUAAAGCUCUGUUGUUAGGGAAGAACAAGUACCGUUCGAAUAGGGCGGUACCUUGACGGUACCUAACCAGAAAGCCACGGCUAACUACGUGCCAGCAGCCGCGGUAAUACGUAGG